RNAcentral lists this small RNA (559 nucleotides) under Pongo abelii (Sumatran orangutan). RNAcentral's name for it is "processed transcript". The record is from RNAcentral. Lineage: Eukaryota; Metazoa; Chordata; Mammalia; Primates; Hominidae.
GAGCACAAAGCGAAAGCAGAGGGGGAGGGCAGAGACCAGGCAGCCGCCCCGACUGGCCUCCUUAGGCCCCCCUCUAAAAAAAAAAAUCGAGCCACACCCACGAUUUUUUGGAUUCAAUAUUUAGUCCUUGUAGAUCAAACUACUGAGAAGCAAAGCCCAGGAGGACAUCUAUCAUGGAUAUCCCUCUUCUGGCACCCUAAUGGCACCUACUGAACUUAAUUUAAAAAAUCCAUUUCAAGAAAGUAACUUUGGUGAUGAGAAACUCCUUGGGAAGAAUGGAAGAUCUAGAUGUAUUGCAGUUCAGCACAACAUAAUAAUCUGAUUGGAGAAAGGAAGAAAACAGCAGCAGCAGAGGCAGAGCUGGAAUGUCGCAACAGCUGGAAUCCAGAAUGACAUUCUAAGGGGGAGGGUUGUUAAGGCACAAAUGAUUUUUCUGGGAUUUAAGACCUUACUUAGGGUAAGCUUGAUGAUUACCAGGAACGAAUGAACAAAGGGGAAAGGCUUAAUCAAGAUCAGCUGGAUGCCGUUUCUAAGUACCAGGAAGUCACAAAUAAUUUGG